UGACGUGACCGGGCCCCUCUGGCGUCGGCGGCAAUGACCGCCACGUGAUGUCGGAUCACCUCG
Non-coding RNA from Pelagibacterium sp. SCN 63-23, 63 nucleotides. Lineage: Bacteria; Pseudomonadati; Pseudomonadota; Alphaproteobacteria; Hyphomicrobiales; Devosiaceae. The record is from Rfam.